Oryza brachyantha (malo sina) is the source of this 1195-nucleotide long non-coding RNA. RefSeq lists it as uncharacterized. Lineage: Eukaryota; Viridiplantae; Streptophyta; Magnoliopsida; Poales; Poaceae. The record is from RefSeq and is a predicted model, not a curated record. The transcript has 4 exons.
CUGCCUUGUCGCACAGCACAGGGAGAGAGGCUCCGACGGCGACAGGAAAUCCGGCGCCGGCGUGAGCUGCACCUCCCCUCCGCUGCCAGGUGAGGAAGGAAGGGAAGAAGGUCAGCGACUGUAACUUUUAUUCUUGAUUCCUGCAUUGUCAAGGUAGGACAUGGAACCAAACAAAGGAAAGGUAGGGACCAAUCAUGAGUCAUGGACAUCAGCUAUGUCCAGUUUCAUGCUAUCUCAUUUAGCCAACAUAGUGGCUAGUGGCACAAGGACCUCAUUUGGUUUUAAACAAGUUCAUCUCAGAGGAUGUGCUAGAGCUCUCAAUGAGAAGUUCAUGACUGAUCUAACGAGUGAUCAGAUGUCAAAUCAUUUGAAGACAUGGAGAAAAAAGUUCCAAAAAAUAAAUAAACUAAGGGAAGUAAGUGGUGCCAUUUGGGAUGAAGAUAAUUUUAUCAUAUCCCUAGAUGACAACCACUACAAUGAUCAUGUGCAGGUUCACAAAGGUGACGCAGAAUUUUUUAACAAACCUCUUGUCAACUAUGGUGAGAUGCUUACCAUCUUUGGGAGCACCAUAGCUACUGGAAAAUAUACAAGGGACUCUAGCUCAGUUCUAGGUACAGAUGAUGUUGCUACUGAAAUUCAUGAUAUGGAUGAUGGUACUGGAACAAUGGAUCAUGAUGAGAGAUCUUCUGCAAGAAAGCCAAGACAUGUGUCCAUGAUGACGAGGGGCUGAUUGGAGCAUUUGAAAGAGUUGGUGACAAGCUUGUCGCCGCUAUAGCUAAGGCUGGUACCCCUGACAAUGACAUUCCUGCUGAUUUGUUUCAAAACUUGAAUAGUAUUCCAGGUUUUGAGCGAAUCCACAUCUCUCACUACUAUGCUUACUUGGUGGCUAACCCUCACAUUGCUAGAGCUUUCAACAAUCUUCCAUUCGAGAACAAGUUGGACAUGGUUGCUAUGUAUGUUACUGAGAAGUUUCCUGGCUCCAUGUAAGGUUGUGUAUGGGUUAAGAAUUAUUUUGCUAUGGACUAAGGUGCCAUUAUGUGUAAGGCAUAAAUUGACAAUUACGUGUAACCCAUGGAUUACUACCUAUAUGUAGAACAUGAAUUUGUUAUCCUCAUAGGUAAGACUUGUAUUAUCCUUAUAUUAUUUAGAAUGUGGAUUGAUUGGCUUGUCAAUGUUUAAAAAAUGCUAUUUAUGU